Molecule: ribosomal RNA, 273 nt
Filed under: uncultured fungus
Lineage: Eukaryota; Fungi
Description: partial small subunit ribosomal RNA
Rfam family: Eukaryotic small subunit ribosomal RNA (bases 146-273)
Source: RNAcentral
GGAUCGGUCGGGUGGUCCACCGUUCGCGGUGCGUACUGCCUUUCCAGACCGAUCCUUAACCUUCCGGUCGUGACCGUGCGCCAGGAUGCGUUGUGGGGUGCGGGGCUUUCGGGUCUCGCACCUCCACAGCGAGGGUCGGGCGCACAAUGGGAACCCGGAACAUUUACCUUGAAAAAAUUAGAGUGUUUAAAGCAGGCAAGCGCUUGAAUAGAUUAGCAUGGAAUAAUGGAAUAGGACUUUGGUCUUAUUUUGUUGGUUUCUAAGACCACAGUA